Molecule: ribosomal RNA, 173 nt
Filed under: uncultured bacterium
Lineage: Bacteria
Description: partial 16S ribosomal RNA
Rfam family: Bacterial small subunit ribosomal RNA
Source: RNAcentral
CUCCUACGGAGGCAGCAGUGGGGAAUAUUGCGCAAUGGGCGAAAGCCUGACGCAGCGACGCCGCGUGCGGGAUGAAGGCCUUCGGGUUGUAAACCGCUUUCAGCAGGGACGAAACCAGACGGUACCUGCAGAAGAAGCGCCGGCUAACUACUUGCCAGCAGCCGCGGUAAUUC